This is a long non-coding RNA of Monodelphis domestica (gray short-tailed opossum), 1918 nucleotides long. Lineage: Eukaryota; Metazoa; Chordata; Mammalia; Didelphimorphia; Didelphidae. The record is from Ensembl.
CUUUUGUUCUGUAUAUUAAUUGUGUGCUGGCAAGCAUGCUACUAAGUGUCUUGGUGAGUACCAACUUAGGGAGAAGACUCCUCACUAAAGCUAUAGUCAUAGGUCUACCUUUAAAUAUUUUAUUUUAUUUUAUUUUUAACCCUUAUCUUCUUUCUUAGAAUCAAUAAUGAGUAUUGGUUUUAAGGCAGAAACUAGGGAAUUAAGUGACUUCCCUAAGGUCACACAGCUAGGAAGAAUCUUCAGUAUGAUUUGAAUCUAGGUCCUGCUGUCUUCAGGUCUAGCUCUCUAUCCACUGAGUUUCUUCCCACAUUUGCAAACACUUCUGAGAAAGGAUACUCAAUAUUUUUACAGUUAACUGAAAAAUUAACUACCUCACAAAGGAGGAAAAAUGCUUACUCUUUUGUGGCAGUAGAAAUUCAAACUUUUUAAACAUUUGCUCUAACUGUAUUUUUAUUAAGCUUAGAUUUCUUUUGUCUUCUUUCCUUCCUUCCUUCCUUCCUUUCCUUCCUUUCUUUUUCUUUCUUUCUUUCUUUCUUUCUUUCUUUCUUUCUUUCUUUCUUUCUUUCUUUCUUUCUUUCUUUCUUUCUUUCUUUCUUUCUUUCUUUCUUUCUUUCUUUCUUUCUUUCUUUCUUUCUUUCUUUCUUCUUUCUUCUUUCUUUUUCUUUCUUUCUUCUUUCUUUUUCUUUCUUUCUUUCUUUCUUUCUUUCUUUCUUUCUUUCUUCUUUCUUUCUCUUUCUUCUUUCUUUCUUUCUUUCUUUCUUUCUUUCUCUUUCUUUCUUUCUUUCUUUCUUUUUCUUUCUUUCUUUCUCCUUCUCUCUUAUCUUUCCUCUUCUUGUCAAUGACUCCUUUUAUUCUUCCUUUCCAUACUCUCUCUUCUUGAAGCUUCUUAACCCCUACUUUGUGCUCCUUGAUAUUUAAAUCAAUGGUUAGAUGAAGGUUUAUCACUGUUUUACAAUUCUUUAUAUUUACUUAAGGUUUCCAGCCUUUUAAUUGGCCAUGAAGCAUUUGGGUGUCAUAUCCUUGGCAUAUAUCCUAAAUUUUCUUGCCCUUCCAAAAGUCAUUUAAAGAAUUAUGAAAAAUUUAUAGAUAUAUCAACUAAAAAUAGGCCCACAUUUCUUUUCCUAGAAAUGGUGAGAGUAACAAUGGUUUCCUAAGUGGAUAUUUUCUUUUUGGUUGCAUUAGACAUAGGAAAUUUUUCUAAUAUUGUAUAACAUAGUACAAUAUUUUUAUAAGGAAAUGUUUAUAGGAAUUCAGUGAUGGUUUUUUGAGCAAGGAUCCUCAUCUGGAAUUAGAAUUUAGUACAUCAUAUGGGUUCAAUCUGACAGUAAUCUGGGGGCCUUAUUUAAUCAUUCCAAUACCCCUCUUCCUCCAUCAUCAUCAUCAUCAUCAUCAUCAUCAUCAUAUCUCAUUCUAAGUGUGGUACAAACAUUUAUUAAUAGAUUUUCAGACUUUAAAUUUUAGUGUACUAAGUCUGAUUUUAAGACUUUACUCUCUUACAUUCUUACACAAACACUAUCCACUGUUUUUUUUGAAUUAAUUUGUUUCUGUAUUACGUUAAAACACCCAUGCCUCACUCCAUCUCACCUCUCCUUCCAUUAGAGAAGAUAUCACUUGACAAAAAUGUAUAUAUAUAUAUAAAACUAUUCUUAACUUAUUUGGGUUUAUUUUUUUUCUAUGGUGGUGGUCAUAUGCGUAUCAUUCUUGAAACAGUAUUUCUGUGGCUGUAUAUAAUGUUCUCUGGGUUCUGUUCAUUACACUCUUCAUAACUUUUUAUUGGUCUUUUUGGUUUGUUUAAAUAUCUUUGCUAUUUCUUAUGGUUUAAUAGGAUUACAACAAUCAUAUGACACAGUUUCUUUGGGCAUUUCCUAAUUAAUGGGCAUCCCUUUAAUUUUUAGCUCUUUGCCACCAGAAAGAGUGG